CAGAUGAAGAGACUGAGGCUCAGAGUGGUUAAGUAAUUUGCCUAAGGUGACCCAGCUGGCAAAUGGCAGAGCCAAGCCUGGAAUCCAGACAGUGUGGCUGUGAAGUCUUGGCUCUUAAAGUAUUUGAAUUAUACUGUAUGAACCAGGAUGUGUUCCCUGUGGACACAGUGAGGCUCCCACUGAGCCUGAAGCUGUGACUACCACAUGGUUGUUUCGGGCUCCUCCUGCCAUUGGACCAAGAAGCAAAGAAAGGAGUUACCAUAUUGGCUGGGAUGACUGACCCCAAUUACCUGGGGGAAGCAUGGUUGCUGUUCCGCAACGCAGGCAGAGAAGGGGACGCCUGGAACUCGAGAGAUCUGCCAGGGUGGCUCUUGGUUUUCUCAGCCACUGCAGCAUGGGACACCCGAAGGCACCUGCUCAGCUAUUCUGAUGCCCGGGCACAAUUCAGGAAGAGCAAGGGAGUUAAUAUUAAAUGAGGCCAACCUUGACCAGGGGAGGAUGGGAUCUGGUGAAUAAAUACUCCUCACUUCUAGUCCUUAGGCAGACAGUUCUCAGAUGCAUUCUCCAUAGCUCUUCAGAUGGUCCCCAGUGGGAUAAGACCCAGUUGCCCAUGUGGCGAUCAACUCAGUAAUCUUGGAUUGACUUUCUCUUCCUCUCUGCUUCCUGGUUUCACUCUUCCCAGUAUCAAUGCCUAUCCCUUAGGUACACUCUCUAAGCCACCUGCAUGCAAGCCUUUUUCUUCGGCUCUGCUUUCUGGGGGAAUGGAGGUUAAGA
This is a long non-coding RNA of Choloepus didactylus (southern two-toed sloth), 774 nucleotides long. RefSeq lists it as uncharacterized. The transcript is spliced from 3 exons. NCBI's taxonomy places the organism in Eukaryota, Metazoa, Chordata, Mammalia, Pilosa, Megalonychidae. The record is from RefSeq and is a predicted model, not a curated record.